GGAGGUAUAACUCAAAUGGUAGAGCACCUGCCUAGCAAGCAUGAAAUCCUGAGUUCAAACUCCAGUACCACAU
RNAcentral lists this transfer RNA (73 nucleotides) under Dipodomys ordii (Ord's kangaroo rat). It matches the Rfam family "tRNA". From Rfam's summary of the family: Transfer RNA (tRNA) molecules are approximately 80 nucleotides in length. Their secondary structure includes four short double-helical elements and three loops (D, anti-codon, and T loops). Further hydrogen bonds mediate the characteristic L-shaped molecular structure. tRNAs have two regions of fundamental functional importance: the anti-codon, which is responsible for specific mRNA codon recognition, and the 3' end, to which the tRNAs corresponding amino acid is attached (by aminoacyl-tRNA synthetases). tRNAs cope with the degeneracy of the genetic code in two manners: having more than one tRNA (with a specific anti-codon) for a particular amino acid; and 'wobble' base-pairing, i.e. permitting non-standard base-pairing at the 3rd anti-codon position. The record is from Rfam by way of RNAcentral. Lineage: Eukaryota; Metazoa; Chordata; Mammalia; Rodentia; Heteromyidae.